UGCCAACAGCCACCUCUCUCUCCUCCCACUCUGGUUCCUAUGAAAAGACGACUGAGAAGUGAGAAGUGUGGGACUUCCCACUCAGAAGUGGGAGUGCAGCAUUACUCUAUGCAGUUAGUUCCUCCCUUCUUCAUUGCAAAAGGGUUGUGCAGUGCUACAUUUUAGUGCGAAAGAAACCCCUUGCAGGAAGCUGUAAGACAGUGAAUGGCUGAAGGGCAAGAGCUAUUAUGGUAUAUAGGAAAAUAAGCUGGAAUCAGAGUUCCCCAGUCAGGAAACUGUGGAGUGAGAAGCUUCUACAGAGACUCUUGAAGAACCACAUAGGCAACCCACAACAGAAGGAACACUUAAGAUAUCUGCAACGCAGCCGGGUGCAGUGGCUCACGCCUGUAAUCCUAACACUUUGGGAGGCCGAGGCGGGCGGACCACCUGAGGUCGGGAAUUCAAGACCAUCCUGACCAACAUGGGGAAACCCUAUCUCUACUAAAAAUACAAAAUUAGCCAGGCGUGGUGGCGCAUGCUACUCGGGAGGCUGAGGCAGGAGAAUUGCUUGAACCCAGGAGGCUGAGGUUGCGGUGAGCCGAUAUCGCGCCAUUACACUGCAGCCUGGGCGACAGAGCGAGACUCCGUCUCAGAAAAAAAAAAAAAAAAAAAAGAUACCUGCAACACAGAGAGGCCAUUAAUGGAUACCAUAAUCACCCAGCGCCUUCCCACCUCCCACUUGGACAAGAGGGGAAGAACACAGAAGAGAAAGAGCUAACAAGCAAAAGAAACACCACCCCGGCACCCAUGGUUUUGACUCAAACAUGUAAUGUGUGGGUUCAGAGGAUGCUACCGAAAUCCCACUUAUGUCUGUUGCCGAUCAUGUUUCUCUAAUGGUAUGUUUUAGACAUAGAGCUCUAUGACUAGGGACAGGCUUAACUCAAACUACACUGAGGUUUGGAAGAACAUGCCUGCCAGGAGCCUAAUGUACUUAAUACAACAGGGCUGGGUCAAGAAAGUGUCAUUUGGUAUUGCUACAACGAUAGGAGGCACAGGCUAUUUUAAGAACAAUAUGGUUUGGGGUGAUCUCUGUGAAGUUUAUGAGUAGUCAGAGAAGAGAACAUAAAACUUGCUCUACACAUGUAAUUAAAAUACAGGGUAACUAAAUUCAUGUGCAAGUAAUAGGAGAGCAGAGUGGAGCCAGGGGAUCAUAAUCAGCAUCCUGGUUGAAGUGAAAAGCAAUUUGUGGUGGCGCUUUCAAAUUCCUACUUUAGUGGACAGAUUUGGAAAGCUCACGUAUAGUCUUCCUGGCUGGGUGGGUUUACUAUCAUAGCCCUUUCAUUUUAAAAAUGUCUCUAAAAAUAGCAGUUGGGUUUGGUUUUGUUUUUUUUCUCCAGGAGAAAUCACACCAUUUUAUAAACAAAUCACUGUUUCAUAGAAG
RNAcentral lists this long non-coding RNA (1420 nucleotides) under Homo sapiens (human). RNAcentral's name for it is "HSALNT0146852". Lineage: Eukaryota; Metazoa; Chordata; Mammalia; Primates; Hominidae. The record is from RNAcentral.